UCUCUCUCUCUAUGAUCUAUCUUACCCCUACGAUCUAUCUUCUCUCUACGAUUUCUAUCUGUCUCUGUAUUGCAUACGGUUUAGGCCGUGAUGCCGGCUAAAUUUGCUAAGAUGCUUGUAUACUCAACUCAUUCUUGUGUAGAUCAUACUUUAUAUUUUGUAACAGAGCCAGAGGGAGAUAGAAGAUUCAGAAUUUAGGGUAGUCCUAAAUUUCUUUCAGAUAUCGAACCCUACUUUUCUAAAGCACCGGCGAGUGUAAUGCUUCGUUGGUUCUAAUCCCCCUAAAUCUCUAGAUGAACGUCGAUCUGCAGAUUAGAGCUAUGGAUGUGAUGGAUCUCACAUCAUUUGCAAUCGGAGGAAAGUAAGGAUGAACUUGGUGAUACACUUGUAAUUGCCUCUUAAUUCUGAUCUGGAUAUAGUGUAUAUGUUAUUUUAAUUAGGUUAGAGUCACUUGGAACUGCAACUCUUUGUAAAAAGUCUCUUGUCUUAGCUUUUAGUUGUAAAGGUUCAUCUGAAUUAUUACACAGUAGCAUAAAGUUGUAAUCUGGUAUUUUAAGACUUAUUGGUGAAGUUAAGAGUAUUUUGGUGUACAUAUAUAUAGUUGGUUUGAUCA
Ipomoea nil (Japanese morning glory) is the source of this 613-nucleotide long non-coding RNA. RefSeq lists it as uncharacterized. NCBI's taxonomy places the organism in Eukaryota, Viridiplantae, Streptophyta, Magnoliopsida, Solanales, Convolvulaceae. The record is from RefSeq and is a predicted model, not a curated record. The transcript has 2 exons.